UGGUGCUAGUGGCAAAGUUUGGGAAUGAUAGAAAGGCUGUUGAAGAGAAUUGCGGACGGGAUCUGGAAUGCCACUGCUUGGGGGAUUACAGUAACAUUUAAACGUUGUUUUCUGUAAACACCAAACUCUAGCGCUCGAAUUCAGCGGGGUGUAAUUAAAGGUACGCAAUCCCGAGACAUGUCGGAGGACCUGAGCUCCCAACCCUGGUCCAUCAACAAGGAUGACUACGAGCUGCAGGAGGUGAUCGGCAGUGGAGCUACAGCUGUGGUUCAGGCUGCUUACUGUGUGCCCAGGAAGGAGAAAGUGGCCAUCAAACGCAUCAAUCUGGAGAAAUGCCAGACCAGCAUGGAUGAGCUCCUGAAAGAGAUUCAGGCGAUGAGCCAGUGUCACCAUCCCAACAUUGUGUCGUACUACACCUCGUUUGUGGUGAAGGAUGAGCUGUGGUUGGUCAUGAAGCUGCUCAGUGGUGGCUCGGUGUUGGACGUCAUCAAGCACAUCAUUUCAAAGGGUGAACACAAGACCGGUGUGCUGGACGAGCCUAGUAUAGCUACAGUGCUGAAAGAAGUGCUUCAGGGUCUCGAGUACCUUCACAAAAAUGGACAGAUUCAUAGGGAUCUUAAAGCUGGAAACAUCCUGCUGGGAGAAGAUGGAUCAGUGCAAAUCGCAGAUUUCGGUGUAAGUGCCUUCUUAGCCACCGGUGGUGACAUGACUCGAAAUAAAGUGCGCAAGACGUUUGUGGGGACGCCAUGUUGGAUGGCUCCAGAGGUGAUGGAGCAGGUCAAAGGUUACGACUUCAAAGCAGACAUCUGGAGUUUUGGGAUCACAGCCAUUGAACUGGCCACAGGCGCAGCUCCGUACCACAAAUACCCUCCGAUGAAGGUGUUGAUGUUGACUCUCCAGAAUGAUCCGCCUUGCCUCGAGACUGGCAUCACAGACAAAGAGAUGGUGAAGAAAUAUGGAAAGUCUUUGAGGAAGAUGAUCUCGCAGUGUUUGCAGAAAGAGCCGGAGAAAAGGCCGACAUCAUCAGAGCUCUUAAAACAUAAAUUCUUCCAGAAAGCCAAGAAUAAUGAAUUUCUGCAGGAGAAAUUAUUACACAGGGCACCUACAAUUACGGAGAGAGCCAGAAAGGUACGGCGAGUUCCAGGCUCCAGUGGGAGACUCCAUAAAACAGAAGAUGGAGAGUGGGAAUGGAGUGAUGAUGAACUCGAUGAGGAGAGUGAGGAGGGCAAAGCUGCUGUCGCUGCCUUACGGUCACCAAGAGUAAAAGAAGGAGAGAAUGCAGAGGUCUUCCAGCCAUUUGGCAGCCAUCUCCAGCCUGAACUACCUCAAGCUGCUGGGCAAAGUCCAGCCAACACUCAAAACACUGGCCAAACUACUGGCUCGUCACAGGCUCAGAGCACAGCCCCAAACCCCACACAGGCUUCAGUUCCAGGAGGUGAUGCCUCCCAAUCUCCAAUCAGUUUAGUUUUAAGGUUAAGAAACUUGAAAAAAGAGCUGAAUGACAUACGAUUUGAGUUCAUGCCUGGAAGAGAUACGGCAGAUGGGGUUUCUCAGGAACUGGUAUCAGCUGGCUUGGUUGAUGGGAAAGAUUUAGUUAUAGUGGCUGCUAAUCUGCAGAAGAUAGUGGAAGAGCCUCAUUCCAAUAAAAAUGUCACAUUUAAACUGGCUUCUGGAGUGGAGGGCUCAGAAAUUCCGGAUGACAACAAACUCUUGGGAUUUGCUCAGCUCAGCAUCAGCUAAACUUGAGCUCUGUGCGGGACCAUGACUUGCCUACAAAUGUGAAAACAAACCAACACUACCAACAAAACCACACAUUGAUAUAGAUUUUUCUCCUCUUUCAAUUGCCCUAAAGAAACCACUGUUGCCAAAGAGAAAAAGCGCCAGCCCAUAGGAUUACAAAUGGAGUUGCACAAAGAAUUUGUAGGAAUCCAUUAAAAUAAAGUUUACCGUUUCUUCGUACAAGGAUGCAAUUAUCAUAACCGGAUAUAACCUUAAUAUUCUUUUAAUGCUUCUCUUUCUUUGUUUCUAUGUUUGUCCUACUUUCUGAACUGAUGCCCAAAUAAUGAAAGCUGUAAAAAUGCCUCCAUUAUAACUACUGAGUGCUUAUUAGGGAGUGAAACUCAAAGGGUUUAUAGAGAAAAUUAGGUAUUGCUGCAUCUAUAUCAGUUUUUAAUUUAGUUUUUCUAUGGCUUUAAAGAGCUAGCAUGUUUUAUCACACUGCUUGCAUUAUUUACUAAAGAGCUUAUUCAUCUUGAAAUGAUCGUUUAGAACAGGGGUGUCCAAACUCUGUCCUGGAGGGCCUGGAGGGAGGGUGUCCUGCAUAGUUUAGCUUCAGCUUCCUUCAACACAGGUUCCUGGAAGUUUCUUGUAUACCUAGUAAGAGGUUAAUUAGCUGGUUCAGGUGUGUUUAAUUGAAGUUGAAACUAAAAUAUGCAGGACACCGGCCCUCCAGGACCGAGUUUUGACACCCCUGAUUUAGAAUCAUUUACUUAUCACAUGCUUUUCCAAACCCAUGAGGCUUAUUAUACCUUUAAAGCAGAAAUGAAGAUAAAAAUUUAGAUUUGAGAGAUUUUAAUCCCUCCUUUGAAAGUCUGUUGAGCCUAAAUGCUGUGUGUGUGUGUGUCUGUGUGUGUGUGUGUGUCUGUCUGUCUGUGUGUGUUAACCCAGAUGAAUUGAGUGGUUUAAUGCAGGCUUUCUAAAGACACAAUCAAUUUGUGUGAUGGACAGGUUUAGUUCAGGCUUCUAUUUACAUAUAAACGUUUUUCACUAUGAACUAUGAGUUUGCAGUAUUCAUAUUUGGUCCCGGUAGCUCAUACUUGCUUGACAUGUGAGCCAAUGAGGUUUGUUCUUGCAUGUCACAUGGAAUGGUUGAGCUUUCUCAAGAACCAAUGAGGUUUGUUCUUGAAUCAUUUAUGUUUCAGCUUAUGCUUGAUCAAUAUAUACCUUUGUUUAAGUUAGGUCUAUUCAUAUGAAGCAACCAAUACUUGUAUAAAACUGAUUGAUUCAUAUGGCUUUAAUAUAUUUUUAAGGAUUCUGAAGGGUCAGUUUACUCAAAAAUGAAAUCCUGUAAUUAAUUUAUUCAUCUUCAGAACACAGAAUAAAACAUUUUAGAUGAAUGUGAGAGCUCCCUCAUUCUCCAUAGACCGUAAUGAACAUGAGACGCUCAAAGUCCAGAAGAGGAAGUAAAAACAUCAAAUCAUUCCAUGUAGCUGCAGUGGUUCAACUAUAAUCAUACAAAGCUUCGAGAACACUUUUGUGUGGCAAAAUCUGUAAAAAUGACUUUGUUCGGCAAUGUCUUCUUCAUCAGAUCAAGCUUCUUGAUUAGUACGGGCUAUGCUAGUGUGUCAUUUCGCCUAAUGGGAAAAUUACCAUUUUCUGCACACAAAAGUCUUCCUGGAGCAUCUUAUGAUUGCAGUUGGACCACUGAGGUCACAUUGAAUGAUGACAAAGUUUUGUAUUCAUUUUCUGAACUUUGAACUUCUCAGGACCCUUGCUGUCAAUGUAGUGUCAGAGAAUUGAUUAAGAAUGAAAGUCUCUAUGCAUUGGAAUGACGUGAGGGUGAGGGUGAGCAAAUAACUUUUUUUGAGGGGUGAACUAACUCUUUAAAACAUGUUUUGAAUAAACACUUUCAAUGGAGGGACAGAAAUCUCUUAUAUGUUAUUAAAAAUAUCCAUUUGCAUUUUGCAGAUGAAUGAAAGUCGACUAAGUAAUGCCUGAAUUUUUUUUUCUCCAAAAACAAACCAUUUAAGCUACAGAAUCUGGUUGAAAUUUCAGUGAUUACGCUUGUUUAGCUAAAAAAAAAAAAAAACAUUUAGUAGUUUCUCGCCUUUCAUUUCACGCUGGCAAGUGCACUUUAUCACAGAUUUCAAAUGUAAUGAUGUGUUCAGUGUCAUCAAGCCUCAUCAAACACUCCUGAAGGCUGUUUUCAUUAGACUUACUCGCUUUUCAUUUUUUAACUGUCUCUCAUUGUGGGCACAUCUGCAAAUAUUGCUAUCCCAUGCUGCUCUAAAAGUUAUUGCCUUAAUGUUUCUACAAACAUAUCGCUCUAUUUUUUAGAUCUUGCAUAAAUUUGUGCAUUUUGGUUUUAAUAUAUGUGACUUCUGCUCAUUUUUUGGAAAGUAUCUCUGUCAGUGAUUUUUCUUUUUUGAAAAGUUGAGGUACCCUUGGUGUUUAGCUCUUUCUGCUCUGGAUUGGAACUCUUUCAUGUGUAUCUCUGAACUCGAUUGAAUGUGUAAAUAAUGUCAUUUGCCAUUGGUUUGAUUUUAUAUGGGAUGUUUCACUCAUGGCCUUUGUGUUCUUUAUAAAUAAGGUGACGGGAGGAGGUGGCGUUCACUACUAAAGACACAUUGUUUUUUGGGAAUGAGCAAAAGAAAUACAGUAGGAGUGAUGUAAAGAAAGCUUUAAUAACGCACAAGUCUUUUUUUCCAUUUUCAUUUCUUUGCAAUCACAACACUGCUGUCCACGAAAAAAUAGGAAACUGUUAAUAAAGUUGCCUGCAUUG
This is a non-coding RNA of Danio rerio (zebrafish), 4501 nucleotides long. NCBI's taxonomy places the organism in Eukaryota, Metazoa, Chordata, Actinopteri, Cypriniformes, Danionidae. The record is from RefSeq and is a predicted model, not a curated record.